Molecule: unclassified non-coding RNA, 281 nt
Filed under: plant metagenome
Description: partial contains small subunit ribosomal RNA, internal transcribed spacer 1, and 5.8S ribosomal RNA
Source: RNAcentral
UUUCCGUAGGUGAACCUGCGGAAGGAUCAUUGUCGAAACCUGCCCAGCAGAACGACCCGCGAACUUGUAUAAACAACUGGGGGCGGGGGGCGUUCUCGCCCCGUGCCCCCGAACGGCGGGGAGACACUCGUGCCUUCUUGCCGAACAACGAACCCCGCGCGGUCUGCGCCAAGGAACUUCAACUAAAGAGUGCCUCCGGUCGCCUCGGAAACGGCGUGCGUGCCGGAGGCGAAUCUUGUGCAAAACCAUAACGACUCUCGGCAACGGAUAUCUCGGCUCUC